UCAGAGAUGAUGGCGGAGGCAAGAGGACCUGUUAUUUCGUGUAGAUGCAGCAAAACCGAAGACUGUCAGGGUAUUUGCGCCGCGUGCCCCAACUAUAGCUGCAUUAAUAACCUUUGUACUUGCCUUUCAAACGCACCUCCAUUUCCAUAGUCUUAGAAUCUACACACUCCAACACUUGAAUGGAAUGGUGGGAUUUUUUUCUGUAAUUUGAAAUAAAUUAUCGUGCAAUGGAUCUAAUAAGAAAAAAUAUUUUAAUUAUUGUAAUUUUAAUUUUCUUUUUACCCUUCUCUGCCCCUCCCCCCCUUUCUAGUAGCGAAAAGUAUGUUACAUUUCAAAUAUAUAAAAAGAGUUACAAUCUUGUUUUACAACCUAAAGCAAUAACAGUCAGAACAAAAGAAAGAAGAAAAACAUUUCUCAAAAUACAAUGAUAAUUAUUCUUUGAAUUCCACUCUCAUAUGCUUGUAUAUGGCNNNNNNNNNNNNNNNNNNNNNNNNNNNNNNNNNNNNNNNNNNNNNNNNNNNNNNNNNNNNNNNNNNNNNNNNNNNNNNNNNNNNNNNNNNNNNNNNNNNNNNNNCGUAUUCUUUUGGUGGGGACACUUUGUUAAUUUAUUAACAACACUAUGCACUAGAUGUGUAUCAAAUGGAAACGUGCUCUGUUCAAACUUUAUUAGAAAAAAAUUGCAUAAGCACCUAUUAUAAGCUAAAACAUUAAAAACAUUUUCUAGGAAAACUUAGCUGGACAAUACCUUGGGUAAAGGAAAGAGUAAACAUGUUUUAGACUCCCCCUAAUUUUAAAAAUAUUGAAACAUGGUAGAAAUUUUGAAACAAUAUUUUGUUGCUAAAUAAUUCAUCAAAGAGAGUCAUACUAUGAAGACAUGCCUUUUUAAUUACAAUGAUAACCAUUGAGUUUCAUUGUAUACUCUAGGUUCAUUUGCCAAUAACUCUUUUGCACAUCAUAAUAUAGGUGGGGGCGAAUAAAACUUUAUAUAAAGUGACAUUAAUACAUGCAUUAUAGCCUCCAUUAAUUUCUUAUAAGUUUUUUUUAUAUCCACAAUCAACAUUUUUCUUAUGCGGACAUGAUACCUUACUAUUGCAUAUGACUUAAGGAAAAUUGUAUAUUAAAUUUAGCCUCCUGGCUUUGGAGAUUUCUACAUCCUUUCUCUCUUUCUUACACCGUUGCAAGGAUGUUCAUGUAGACCACCUGAUAGAUAGUUGUAUGGUUUCUUUAUUCUUAUUGAAACACAUAUAGAGUCUUUCUUGACAUCACUGUGACUUUAAUAGUCAUUACCAAUAUGGUUUGACUCUUGCAGGUUUUGAAUACAUUGGAGUGUCAUUCGGCCCAAUUAAAGGCUAUUAUUGUUGUUUCAAUUUGAGAUCGCUCUCUUCUAGUUUUUCUUCUUCUUUUCUCAUUUUGGUUUCCUACCCUUUGUAACACCCCUUACCUGUAUUCGAUGUCAGAAUAGGAUACGAGGUAUUACCAGAACACAUACACUUUUAACCAUAUUAAAACGAGUUGAAAAAUUUCAUCAAAACUAAAACUCUCAAAUUGUUAUUCUUGAUUCGCUAAUUAGGGUUUACGUAACCCAAUAUACUCACAAUCUUUCCUUUCCUCGUCAUAUGAAUUUAAAAAUUUCCGCUUACUUAUUGAUUUCAUCACGAGUACCUGAAUUGAUCCGUAUAAUUACAUAUUCUCAUGUCGUCACAUUUUCCUAUUUAACUAUUGUAAUAUAUCAAUUAAUCAAUAUCUUAUAAGUUAAGUGUCACAUAUACAUUAUCCAUUCAUCUCCCAUACAACUGUCGAUAUUAGCCACAAAAAUAGUACAAAUUUUCUCUAUUCGAUGUUAAAUCAAAACAUGUUAUUUCAUUACCAACUAACCUUACUAAAUAUACACCUUAAACUAGCCCAAGUGUUUAACCAUUCACCUAUGACAUAAAUAUAUUUUAUCUAUUACUGCAGAAUAUAGAUGUGCUACCCAAAUCAUAAUUCGCCUCACAUAGUAACCUAGUUAAUUUUUAUCAUUUGUCAAAUAAAUUACAAAACAAGUUAUAUAACAAAAUAUAUAUACAUUUUAAACCUCACCAAUAAAAAAAUUCUCAUGGCAUUAAAUAAUCAUCACGCACCAAAGACAAAUGUACUUGACAUUUCCAUCACAUAAACCGAAUUAAUCAAUGCAACCUCAAUGAUGUAAUCAUCCUUUUAACUUACUUAACCAAGCCAAAUUAUACCAUCAUCUCACACAUAGAAUGAUCCACCUAUUAUAUUUCUCAAUUAUGUCACUUAAUAGACCAAAUAUACCUAACCUUUAUCAUCAUGAUCAAUCCACAACCAAAAUACAUUCAUAUAUCAAAAUUACCACACACACACAUAUAUAUAUACCAUGACUAAAUUUCUUAAACAUUUGAUCAAAUGCUUUUCAAUACUACAAUAAUUCUUUCAAUACCAAAACGUAUUUACCAUUCAAUUUACCAUUGGCCGAUUAUAUUCGGGCAUAUAACCAUUUAUACACAAUACAUUCAUAUAUUUUAUUGUCCUCCUCCUCCUCUCCAUUCCACAUCCUUGAUGCUUAUAACACACUUAAAUAGCAUUAUACAUAAUUUCACUAUUCACUUAUAUUUAAAUUCAAAGCUGUCUAGUCAAGUUACAAUCACAAAAUUAUUUUUAUCUGGAGCUACAGAGCUCCAAAUUAAGAUCCGAUAAUUUUUCUUGAAACUAGACUCAUGUAUCUUCUUACCAUAAAAUUUUUAGAAUUUUUAGUUCAGCCAAAUCAAACAGUUUAUUCUUUAAACAUUCCCCUGUUUCGUUGUCUAACAGUUCUGAUCACUCUUCACUAAAAAUGAAUUAUCUAAUUGUACAGAAUUCGGAUGAUGUUUCAGUUUAUUUUCUUUGAAAAUAGACUCAGGAUUCUAAGCAUAUGAAUUAUAACUCAUAAUUAUUUUUAUUCAAUUUUUUAUGAUUUUCAAAAGUCAGAACAGGGAAACCCGAAAUCAUUCUGCAUUGUCUCACAAAAUUUAUUAUAAAUCAUAAUUUACAAUUUCAUUCCUUAUACUGUUUCUUCUAUGAGAAACUAGACUCAAUAAGAUUUAAUUUCAUAUUUUAAUCAUCUUCUAAUUCGAUUCCCACGAUUUUUGGUGAUUUUUCAAAGUUGGCACACUGCUGCUGCCCAAAACUGUUUUAGUGCAACAUAUUAAUUACCAUUUUGACCCUAAACUUUUAACACAUGAAAAUUUCGUCCCUAGGCUCUGAAAAUAAUUUUCUUGCAAUUUAAUCCUUGAUCCAAGCCUAAUAAUUCUCAUACAUAUCAAUAACAGCCCAUGGAUUCCAUGAAAUUUCAAAAUUUUUCCACAAUUUCAAUACUUUUCAACUUAUUCCGUAAAACAUGUUUUCAUCCAAAAUUCUUUAAUAAAAUGCCUUUAAACAUCCAUUAACAUAUCAAUUUCAUCAUCAAAUAACAAAAAUCAUAUGAACUUAUCAAUGGUAUCUUUCUAAAAUUUCAACAAAAUGAGAAAUUAGUAGAAUACUAGGUUGGACCUAAUUGCAAAAGUCUAAAAAUAUAAAAAUUUCAAGGAAAAAGUAAGAAUUACACUUACUUGAAGCUAAAAUAUGGGAUAUCAACUCUAAGCCCUCAUCCAUGGCUAUUUCCCACCGAAAUUUCAAGAAGAAAUGGACUUGAAAUCCUUAAAAUAAAUUUUGGCCACAUAAACUUUAUUGUAAUUCCAAUUUUGUCCUUAAAUACAUAAAAAUCUUUGAUUUUUUUAACGGUAUGCCGCCUCUGCCACUUAAGUUAGUCCAUUUACUACUUUAGUCCUUUCUUAUUCAAUUGUUAAGCUAUUUAAUAACUUUAGCAAGUUUUGCAUCUUUUCAAUUUAGUUCUUUUAAAUUAAUUGACUGCCGAAACGUUAAAAUUUUCUGACGAAACUUUAACACUACCAUCUUGACACUCCGUAAAUAUUUAUAAAAAUAUUUAUGGUUGAUUUAUGACAUCGAGGUCUCGAUACCUCUUUUCCACAAUUUCUUAACUUAAUAAAUUUUUAUAAAAUACUGAUUACUAAUUCAAAAAUCUCUUAAAAAUCAUAUUUGACCCGUAAUUAUUAAAUAAUAAAACUUACGAGCUUCUUUUCUGAACUUGGUGGUCUCGUACCACUGUUUUUAACAUUUCUAAAAAUCGGGCUAUUACACCCUUUAUAUGCUUGUUGUAGUAUUUUUUCCUUAAGUUAAUUUUGGAAAUACAUAGAAUCUAUUGAAUGGAGUGCCAUUAAUUUUAUCAACAUUAUAUCUCAUCAUCUUCUUUCUUGUUUUUAGGAUCUUUAUGGCCAUGGUUAGACAAGAGUGUGUAUAUCUUGUAACUCUUAUUUUGGGAGAUGCAAUGUGCACAUUUUCUAUAAGUCCUACACUUUUACCUAUUGUGUCAAUGAGGCCAUCUUUAGGUAUUUCCCCUCUAUUUAUUUCAUUAGUCAAAUUGGAUGUACUUUUAUGAACUUAAAAUCAAACAAUCACUUUUAGCUUUUUUGUAACCUCUCUUUUCAGGUCUGAUAACAUCGUUCAUGAAGUUGAGCUCCUCCGUGGAUAGCCUUGGUUGUUUGUUUCCAUUUAUUCACAAUCUCUUGCAACAAAUUUUGACAUUUUAACUGUAGUGAUAGUUUUAUUAGCCUUGUAGCGAGCCCAAGAUACCAAUGCUUCCCACCAAUGAUUUUGAAUUUUUAAUACUUUAUUUAAAUGAUUUUGAUGUUUAGAAAUUUAAAAAAUAAACUAAUUUUCUUCUAAAUUUUAUUACUUAGCGAUCCGCUGCUUGGGAUAGGAAGAACUUAAACCCUAGGCCUGACAAACCUAGGAAGUCAUGUAGGUGAGAAUUAACCCAAAAUUGGUAUUGCCUAUCCAUGAACCUCUUACCUCAAGUUGGUCUGGACUGUGAGGUCGAAAUAUAAGUAGUUGUUGCCAACUUAUUAGUUUAGUGGAAGAUCGAGAGAUGCUACUAGGUUAGCGGCUAAUUGAUUGAGUAAAACCAAAAAUAGGAUUUAGUUAUGACCACUGAAGCGAGCUAAUCACUCAUGCUUAGAUUUUAUUGAGUCACAUAUUAGUUCUCCAUCUUUUUUAUUUUAUGCAAGUUUAUUUCUUUUCUUAUAAAAACAACUAUUUUUCACUUUAUGAUCAUUGUACUAUAAGUUAUUUAAAUUAGUAAUUAGAUCUAUUUGCAUUUAGGUUAAUAUUAAUUUAGUACUUGUCUCCCUUGGGUACGAUCCUCGAGUACUCACCUACUUCGUUGUAAAACUAUAUUACAACCUGACUCGUAUACUUGAGGACACCGCCUCAAUUCAAUAUAUACUUUUAGCAAUAUUCAUACUCUGGAUUCUAGUACGUUAGAAGGUGGUCACUUUCCAAAGUGGCGCGUAGUUUAUCUGCAAAUAAGUGGUGGCCCGUCUACAAUCCGGAGUGAUAUGUUAGACGAGUUCUGGGGAAUUGAUACGUGAGGUGUGUAGCGGAUUUGGGUAGGACUUUUCUGUUAAUUUGAAACUUCAAUGCAUUCAUAAGCAUGUGCAUAUAAAUUUGUGAAUACCAUUAUAGUGAAGUGAAGCGUUUUAUGUGAAAAACCGUUAAUAUGAGGUGCUUUAUGGUUGUCUUUAAUCUCAAGAUUGCUAAUUCAUGUGCCUUGUUGGUUUGUUGUUUUAUUUUGGUUUUCUUGUGACUCAACUCACACUGAGCUUCAUAGCUCACUACCCUUUAGUUCCCAUCCUUAUAGAUAACCCAAUAGGUUAGGAUGCGACAUAUAGAAGGCUCGAAAAAGUUUUAAUGUUAUGAAAGUAUUAUUAUGCUUAUUUUAAAAUUUAUGUUAUUUCGGAACUGUACUGUAUUAUUUAUUUUCUGGCAUUGGAUUCAUAUUUAGGUUUUGGUUUUAUAUUGCAAGCAUGACAUAAAAAUUGUUUUUAAGAUGCUAAUAAUACUCAGGAAAAGCCAUUUUUUCGCUGAAAGGUCAUAAUUAAAUUUUGUCUAAUAACUAGAAUGUAACUAUGUUUCCAAUAGUUAUCACCUUUUACAAGAAAAAUAUUAGUUUAAUUGUAUUUUUUGUACCCAUGAUUUGUUUUCUAAAAAUAGAAAGAGUCUUUGUAAAGAUAAAAAAAAUGUUUUAAUGUGAUUAUUUAAAAUCUUCGAUUGCACUGGGCUAUCACGGUCGCCGAUGUAAUCUCCCGAACUCGGGCCUACCGUCUUGGCCCAAUUGGGGAGGUUACAAUUUCAAUGGCAUAAAGUACUAAAAACAUCUUUUAAAUCAUCUGUAGCAUAGAUUAUUUCAUGUUGAUUUGAGUUGAAUUAAAAUAUUUAAUUUGAACUUAUAAAUUUUCCAUUUGUAAAGAAAAAAAAGUGAUUUUACUUCAAACAAAAAGAAGAGAAAAAUUGUUACCAACUAAAUUGAUGAACAAGAACUUGAUAUGAUAUAUACGUGAAUACAAUAACAAUACAUUAAUUGCGCUACAAUUGUGUAUAAUAUCCUUUUUAUUUAGUUAUAUUGUGUUUGUACAAAAUUAGUAAAGAUAAAAUGCUAUGCAUCAAAUAUGCUCAAUUCUAAUUCUAAUUCUAAUUCCAAUUCCAAUUUGAGUUUGAACUUGAUUUGGAACACAAAAAUUGAGCAUGGCGUCAAGUAUGAGAAUCCAACUCAAGUCUUAUAAAUAAACAAGCCUAAUUAAAUUUAGCAAAGCUAAUUAAAGCAGUUUAAUCUUUAUCUUGUAACAAGUUUAUAUUUUAAAAGUGAAACUCAAUGAAGUUAUAUUGGAGCAUUCAAUUCUCUAGGUUUCUAUGGAGAUUGAGAUUGAAUUUCUUGGAUCAGUUCAACCCCAUUAAAUAACUUUAAAUUUUUUAUUUUGAUACAAUAGUUAAUAUUAUUUCCAAACUCAUAUAAGUGGUUGUGUAGGAAAGGGUCAGGUUUUUUGUCUGCUUUCUCUCAGUACUAUCUCCAAAAUUUUAAUGCUUUUAGUAUUUUAAUAUUUGAAAAUUAUAAAAAAAAAUUUUGACUAGUAAGAAAAAUAUAAUUUAAUCUUUUCUUCUCCUAGACCACAAAUAAAAAAAAUUGGAACAUAUUUCCCAUUUGUUUCUAAACGGUUGGACUAAUAAUCAACUUAUUGGCAUCAUGCAUUCCAGAUUUGGUAACAUUAAUUUCCAUGACUACACUUAGAACAAAAUAAUGAUAAUUAGUAAACAAAAUCCCCAUAAAUCUUCUCAAGGAUGUUUUUCUGAUUUACUUUCCUUUUAGACAUAGUUUCAUAAGGAAAAAAAUAAAAACGUAAUAAUCUCAAAGAAUCCACAGAAAUUAGUAUUCCUCCAUGCAACACAAAAUAAGAUACUAUAUAUAUUAAAUCCAUAAGCUANNNNNNNNNNNNNNNNNNNNNNNNNNNNNNNNNNNNNNNNNNNNNNNNNNNNNNNNNNNNNNNNNNNNNNNNNNNNNNNNNNNNNNNNNNNNNNNNNNNNNNNNNNNNNNNNNNNNNNNNNNNNNNNNNNNNNNNNNNNNNNNNNNNNNNNNNNNNNNNNNNNNNNNNNNNNNNNNNNNNNNNNNNNNNNNNNNNNNNNNNNNNNNNNNNNNNNNNNNNNNNNNNNNNNNNNNNNNNNNNNNNNNNNNNNNNCAGGGUAUUUACGCCGUGUGCCCCAACUAUAGCUGCAUUAAUAACCUUUGUACUUGCCUUUCAAACGCACCUCCAUUUCCAUAGUCUUAGAAUCUACACACUCCAACAGUUGAAUGAAAUGGUGGGAUUUUUUUGUGUAAUUUGAAAUAAAUUAUCAUGCAAUGGAUCUAAUAAGAAAAAAUAUUGUAAUUAUUGUAAUUUUCAAUUUCUUUUUACCCUUCUCUGCCCCUCCC
Molecule: long non-coding RNA, 7837 nt
Filed under: Gossypium raimondii (Peruvian cotton)
Lineage: Eukaryota; Viridiplantae; Streptophyta; Magnoliopsida; Malvales; Malvaceae
Description: long non-coding RNA (GRAI_LNC006636)
Source: RNAcentral